This 432-nucleotide ribosomal RNA is filed under the name uncultured bacterium. Its description in RNAcentral is "bacterial SSU rRNA". It matches the Rfam family "Bacterial small subunit ribosomal RNA", at positions 335 to 758 of the family's 1533-position model. The record is from RNAcentral.
ACUCCUACGGGAGGCAGCAGUGGGGAAUAUUGCACAAUGGGCGCAAGCCUGAUGCAGCCAUGCCGCGUGUGUGAAGAAGGCCUUCGGGUUGUAAAGCACUUUCAGUCGUGAGGAAGGUAGUGUAGUUAAUAGCUGCAUUAUUUGUACGUUAGCGACAGAAGAAGCACCGGCUAACUCCGUGCCAGCAGCCGCGGUAAUACGGAGGGUGCGAGCGUUAAUCGGAAUUACUGGGCGUAAAGCGCAUGCAGGUGGUUUGUUAAGUUCAGAUGUGAAAGCCCGGGGCUCAACCUCGGAAUAGCAUUUGAAACUGGCAGACUAGAGUACUGUAGAGGGGGUAGGAAUUUCAGGUGUAGCGGUGAAAUGCGUAGAGAUCUGAAGGAAUACCGGUGGCGAAGGCGGCCCCUGGACAGAUACUGACACUCAGAUGCGAAA